Long non-coding RNA from Amblyraja radiata (thorny skate), 293 nucleotides. RefSeq lists it as uncharacterized. Lineage: Eukaryota; Metazoa; Chordata; Chondrichthyes; Rajiformes; Rajidae. The record is from RefSeq and is a predicted model, not a curated record. The transcript has 3 exons.
CGCAACUCCCAGCCACGACUGCAAGAUCCCAUCUCUCCUGGUUUAUCGCCCAAGUCCAGCGAGGAAGUGUCGCUCAUCCGAUUGCUGCCUAUCCCGGCUAAUCUAAACCUCUGCAAACGCGGUGACCACCGCACCGGAGUUGGGUAGUGAGCGAACUCGCCAAACUUGGGACCGGCCUACCCAGCAGACCCAGACAAGCAGCAUGAUGUCCUACAUCAAGCAACCGCAUUACGCCGUCAAUGGACUCACCCUCACCGGCUCGGGCAUGGACCUCCUGCACUCGGCGGUCGGAU